GAUGAAGAACGUAGCGAAAUGCGAUAAGUAAUGUGAAUUGCAGAAUUCAGUGAAUCAUCGAAUCUUUGAACGCACAUUGCUCCCGCCAGUAUUCUGGCGGGCAUGCCUGUUCGAGCGUCAUUUCAACCCUCAGGCCCCCAGUGCCUGGUGUUGGGGAUCGGCCCAGCCUUCCUGUAAGGCCGCCGGCCCCGAAAUCUAGUGGCGGUCUCGCUGUAGUCCUCCUCUGCGUAGUAGCACAACCUCGCAGUUGGAACGCGGCGGUGGCCAUGCCGUUAAACACCCCACUUCUGAAAGUUGACCUCGGAUCAGGUAGGAAUACCCGCUGAACUUAAGCAUAUCAAUAAGCGGAGGA
RNAcentral lists this unclassified non-coding RNA (352 nucleotides) under soil metagenome. RNAcentral's name for it is "partial contains 5.8S ribosomal RNA, internal transcribed spacer 2, and large subunit ribosomal RNA". The stretch from base 1 to 120 matches the Rfam family "5.8S ribosomal RNA", at positions 35 to 154 of the family's 154-position model. The record is from RNAcentral.